RNAcentral lists this ribosomal RNA (253 nucleotides) under uncultured bacterium. RNAcentral describes it as "partial 16S ribosomal RNA". It matches the Rfam family "Bacterial small subunit ribosomal RNA", at positions 524 to 776 of the family's 1533-position model. The record is from RNAcentral.
UACGGAGGGCGCAAGCGUUAUCCGGAUUCACUGGGCUUAAAGGGUGCGUAGGCGGUCGGGUAAGUCUGAUGUGAAAUCUCACAGCUUAACUGUGAAACUGCAUUGGAUACUAUCCGGCUCGAGGAAUGGAGGGGAGACUGGAAUACUUGGUGUAGCAGUGAAAUGCGUAGAUAUCAAGUGGAACACCAGUGGCGAAGGCGAGUCUCUGGACAUUUCCUGACGCUGAGGCACGAAAGCCAGGGGAGCAAACGGG